UUUUGCUUGAGGAUCCUGGCUGCACUUCAGGCCCCAGAGCCGAGUCUUCUGUGAUCCCAGUAAGGAAGAAGAAUGGAGAAACUCCUGGAAGUGUCUUUGAUGAUUCUAUGGCUUCAACUGGCCAGGGUGAACAGCCAACAGGAACAGGAUCAUCAGACCCUAAGUAUCCAGGAGGGUGAAAACGCCACCAUGAACUGCAGUUAUAAAACUAGUAUAAACUACUUACAGUGGUAUAAACAAGACUCAGGUAGAGGCCUUGUCCUACUGAUUUUAAUACGUUUAAAUGAAAGAGAGAAAAACAGUGGAAGACUACGAGUCACGCUGAACAGCUCCCUCAAAAGCAGUUCAUUGUCCAUCACGGCUUCCCAGACAGCAGACACUGCCACAUACUUCUGUGCAACGGACGCACAGUGUUCACCAAGCACCUGCAGCCUCUCCACAAACUCCCCCAGAGCUGCCUCUUAGCAGCCCUAUAGUGUAGCAUUAGU
Non-coding RNA from Acinonyx jubatus (cheetah), 488 nucleotides. The record is from the annotation of a RefSeq genome assembly. Lineage: Eukaryota; Metazoa; Chordata; Mammalia; Carnivora; Felidae.